ACGGGAGGCAGCAGUGAGGAAUAUUGGUCAAUGGGCGGAAGCCUGAACCAGCCAAGUCGCGUGAAGGAAGAAGGUAUUAUGUAUUGUAAACUUCUUUAGACGUAGAGAAAUAAGGCGCUCGUGAGCGCUGAUGCUAGUAUACGUAGAAUAAGGAUCGGCUAAUUCCGUGCCAGCAGCCGCGGUAAUACGGAAGGUCCGGGCGUUAUCCGGAUUUAUUGGGUUUAAAGGGAGCGUAGGCGGGCUUUUAAGUCAGCUGUGAAAUCCUGCGGCUCAACCGUGGAAUUGCAGUUGAUACUGGGAGUCUUGAGUGCACGCAGGGAUGCCGGAAUUCGUUGUGUAGCGGUGAAAUGCUUAGAUAUGACGAAGAACUCCGAUCGCGAAGGCAAGUGUCCGGAGUGCGACUGACGCUGAGGCUCGAAAGUGCGGGUAUCAAACAGGAUUAGAUACCCUGGUA
This 454-nucleotide ribosomal RNA is filed under the name uncultured Alloprevotella sp. Its description in RNAcentral is "partial 16S ribosomal RNA". It matches the Rfam family "Bacterial small subunit ribosomal RNA", at positions 341 to 792 of the family's 1533-position model. Lineage: Bacteria; Pseudomonadati; Bacteroidota; Bacteroidia; Bacteroidales; Prevotellaceae. The record is from RNAcentral.